This 467-nucleotide ribosomal RNA is filed under the name uncultured bacterium. Its description in RNAcentral is "partial 16S ribosomal RNA". It matches the Rfam family "Bacterial small subunit ribosomal RNA", at positions 28 to 507 of the family's 1533-position model. The record is from RNAcentral.
GACGAACGCUGGCGGCGUGCUUAACACAUGCAAGUCGAACGGAAAGGCCCUGCUUUUGUGGGGUGCUCGAGUGGCGAACGGGUGAGUAACACGUGAGUAACCUGCCCUUGACUUUGGGAUAACUUCAGGAAACUGGGCUAAUACCGGAUAGGAGCUCCCUCUGCAUGGUUGGGGUUGGAAAGUUUCGGCGGUUGGGGAUUGACUCGCGGCUUAUCAGCUUGUUGGUGGGGUAGUGGCUUACCAAGGCUUUGACGGGUAGCCGGCCUGAGAGGGUGACCGGCCACAUUGGGACUGAGACACGGCCCAGACUCCUACGGGAGGCAGCAGUGGGGAAUCUUGCACAAUGGGCGGAAGCCUGAUGCAGCAACGCCGCGUGCGGGAUGACGGCCUUCGGGUUGUAAACCGCUUUCGCCUGUGACGAAGCGUGAGUGACGGUAAUGGGUAAAGAAGCACCGGCUAACUACGUG